AACGAACGCUGGCGGUAUGCCUAACACAUGCAAGUCGAACGAGACCUUCGGGUCUAGUGGCGCACGGGUGCGUAACGCGUGGGAACGUGCCCUUAGGCUCGGGAUAAUACCUCGUAAGGGGUGCUAAUAUCGGGUAAUGUCUUCGGACAAAAGAUAUAUCGUCUUUGUGUGGGCAGGGGUUGUUUUAGCCGGUUGGUAUGGAAAAAGCCUAUCACGGCGACGCUACAUAGCUGGGUUGAGAGGAUGCUCAGCCACACUGGGACUGGGAAACGGUCCAGACUACUACGGGAUGCAGCAGAGGGGAAUAUUGGACAAUGGGGGAAGGGCUGAUCGAGCUAUGCCGCGAGAGUGAUGAAGGCCGUAGGGAAGUAAAGCUCGUUUACCCGGGAUGAUAAUGACGGUACCGAGAGAAUAAGCACCGGCUAACUCCGUG
Molecule: ribosomal RNA, 433 nt
Filed under: uncultured bacterium
Lineage: Bacteria
Description: partial 16S ribosomal RNA
Rfam family: Bacterial small subunit ribosomal RNA
Source: RNAcentral